This 596-nucleotide ribosomal RNA is filed under the name Boophis madagascariensis (Madagascar bright-eyed frog). RNAcentral's name for it is "partial 16S ribosomal RNA". It matches the Rfam family "Bacterial large subunit ribosomal RNA", at positions 701 to 1702 of the family's 2925-position model. Lineage: Eukaryota; Metazoa; Chordata; Amphibia; Anura; Mantellidae. The record is from RNAcentral.
UUUAGUUUGACCCCCCGAAACCAAGUGAGCUACUCCUAAACAGCCUUUUUAGGGCUAACCCGUCUCUGUUGCAAAAGAGUGGGAUAAUUUAUGAGUAGAGGUGACAGACCUAUCGAACUUAGAGAUAGCUGGUUUUUUAAGAAAAGAAUUUUAGUUCAGCCUCAAGCUUCCCUUUAACCAAAAAAUCACCCAAGGCUUGAGAGUUAUUCAAAUAAGGCACAGCUUAUUUGAAACAGGACACAACCUAGAAUACAGGGUAAAAACAGACUAAAUUGACUAAUAAGUGGGCCUAAAAGCAGCCACCUUUCAAAAAGCGUCAAAGCUUGGUAGUGCCAAUUUUCCCAAUAACCUACAUACUUUUUAACCCGCACACACUAUUAAAUAAAUCCAUAAAGCUAUGGAAGCUAUAAUGCUAGAACAAGUAACAAGAAAAAGAAUUUCUCCAAAAUGUAAGCCUCAGCCGCAAUAGACAACCUGCCGGCGAUUAACGCCCAUGAGCCCAAUAUAACAACACUACAAGAAAACCCUAUAGACCCCCAGCGUCAACCUUACACCAGCACAUUUAUGGAAAGAUUAAAAGAGCGGGAAGGAACUCG